RNAcentral lists this ribosomal RNA (497 nucleotides) under uncultured bacterium. Its description in RNAcentral is "partial 16S ribosomal RNA". It matches the Rfam family "Bacterial small subunit ribosomal RNA", at positions 28 to 507 of the family's 1533-position model. The record is from RNAcentral.
GAUGAACGCUGGCGGCGUGCCUAAUACAUGCAAGUCGAGCGAACGGACGAGAAGCUUGCUUCUCUGAUGUUAGCGGCGGACGGGUGAGUAACACGUGGAUAACCUACCUAUAAGACUGGGAUAACUUCGGGAAACCGGAGCUAAUACCGGAUAAUAUUUUGAACCGCAUGGUUCAAAAGUGAAAGACGGUCUUGCUGUCACUUAUAGAUGGAUCCGCGCUGCAUUAGCUAGUUGGUAAGGUAACGGCUUACCAAGGCAACGAUGCAUAGCCGACCUGAGAGGGUGAUCGGCCACACUGGAACUGAGAAACGGCCCAGACUCCUACGGGAGGCAGCAGUAGGGAAUCUUCCGCAAUGGGCGAAAGCCUGACGGAGCAACGCCGCGUGAGUGAUGAAGGUCUUCGGAUCGUAAAACUCUGUUAUUAGGGAAGAACAUAUGUGUAAGUAACUGUGCACAUCUUGACGGUACCUAAUCAGAAAGCCACGGCUAACUACGUG